Molecule: ribosomal RNA, 440 nt
Filed under: uncultured bacterium
Lineage: Bacteria
Description: partial 16S ribosomal RNA
Rfam family: Bacterial small subunit ribosomal RNA
Source: RNAcentral
CCUACGGGAGGCAGCAGUGGGGGAUAUUGCACAAUGGGGGGAACCCUGAUGCAGCGACGCCGCGUGGGUGAAGAAGCGCCUCGGCGCGUAAAGCCCUGUCAGCAGGGAAGAAAAUGACGGUACCUGAAGAAGAAGCCGCGGCUAACUACGUGCCAGCAGCCGCGGCAAUACGAAGGGGGCAAGCGUUAUCAGGAUUUACUGGGUGUAAUGGGGGCGCAGACGGCGAUGCAAGACAGGAGGGAAAGCCCGGGGCCCAACCCCGGGACUGCUCUUGGAACUGCGUGGCUGGAGUGCAGGAGGGGCAGGCGGAAUUCCUGGUGUAGCGGUGAAAUGCGUAGAUAUCAGGAGGAACACCGGUGGCGAAGGCGGCCUGCUGGACUGCAACUGACGUUGAGGCCCGAAAGCGUGGGGAGCAAACAGGAUUAGAUACCCCUGUAGUC